Molecule: long non-coding RNA, 597 nt
Filed under: Medicago truncatula (barrel medic)
Lineage: Eukaryota; Viridiplantae; Streptophyta; Magnoliopsida; Fabales; Fabaceae
Description: long non-coding RNA (MTRU_LNC001492)
Source: RNAcentral
UCUAAUCUAUUUAUUUUCUUCAUCUUCUUUAUCUUUCUUCAUCAACGGUCAUACAAAAAUUUUAAAAAAGUAUUCAGAAAAAGAAAACAAGGUGUAAAACCCAUACCCCUUCUUCUUCUUCUUCUUCUUCUUCUUCUCUACCGUGUUCCCAAGAACACUCUUUCUCCUUCAUCUUCCUCGCAAUCCAAUCAAACAAAUCAGAAUCCAUAAAAUCAAAAUAAAAAAUCCAAAAUCACAAAAUCCAUAAAAUUACAAAUCCAUAAAAAUCAAAACAAAUCAGAAGUUAAAAAACAACAUCUUGAUCCAAAAAUCCAAAACCCAGAUACGAAUAAAAUCGAUCGGAAGGCCACCGCCGAUGAGAGAGAGACGCCACCGGAAAGAGAAAGAGAGAGAAAUCUGAGUUUUCUUUUGAUGAUUUCAAAUGCUUUGAUGCUUCCACUGAAGUGAAAAGGAUGGGUCUCUGUCACAUUGUCAAAACAUAGAAAGAACUAAUAAAAUUAAAUGAUCCUAAUGUGACGAUUGUCACUAACAAAAGGAGCCUACUUAGAAAAGCUUCAUUGUCUCUAUGUGGGAAUUUGAUAGCAAGAGAACGAAAAG